This 92-nucleotide transfer RNA is filed under the name Clostridia bacterium. RNAcentral's name for it is "tRNA-Ser". It matches the Rfam family "tRNA". From Rfam's summary of the family: Transfer RNA (tRNA) molecules are approximately 80 nucleotides in length. Their secondary structure includes four short double-helical elements and three loops (D, anti-codon, and T loops). Lineage: Bacteria; Bacillati; Bacillota; Clostridia. The record is from RNAcentral.
GGAGAAGUACCCAAGUGGCUCAAGGGGACCCCCUGCUAAGGGGUUAGUACGUUUAUAGCGUAGCACGAGUUCAAAUCUCGUCUUCUCCGCCA